UACGUAGGUGGCAAGCGUUGUCCGGAUUUACUGGGUGUAAAGGGCGUGCAGCCGGAGAGGCAAGUCAGAUGUGAAAUCCGCGGGCUCAACUCGCGAACUGCAUUUGAAACUGCUUCCCUUGAGUAUCGGAGAGGUAAUCGGAAUUCCUAGUGUAGCGGUGAAAUGCGUAGAUAUUAGGAAGAACACCAGUGGCGAAGGCGGCUGUCUGGUCUGCAACUGACGCUGAGGCUCGAAAGCAUGGGUAGCGAACAGG
This 253-nucleotide ribosomal RNA is filed under the name uncultured Oscillospira sp. RNAcentral describes it as "partial 16S ribosomal RNA". It matches the Rfam family "Bacterial small subunit ribosomal RNA", at positions 524 to 776 of the family's 1533-position model. The record is from RNAcentral. Lineage: Bacteria; Bacillati; Bacillota; Clostridia; Eubacteriales; Oscillospiraceae.